RNAcentral lists this ribosomal RNA (293 nucleotides) under uncultured bacterium. RNAcentral describes it as "partial 16S ribosomal RNA". It matches the Rfam family "Bacterial small subunit ribosomal RNA", at positions 505 to 796 of the family's 1533-position model. The record is from RNAcentral.
GUGCCAGCAGCCGCGGUAAUACGUAGGGGGCGAGCGUUGUCCGGAUUUAUUGGGCGUAAAGAGCUCGUAGGCGGUUCGGCAAGUCGGAUGUGAAAUCUCCACGCUCAACGUGGAGGGGCCAUCCGAUACUGCCGUGACUCGAGUCCGGUAGGGGAGUGUGGAAUUCCCGGUGUAGCGGUGAAAUGCGCAGAGAUCGGGAGGAACACCCGUAGCGAAGGCGGCACUCUGGGCCGGUACUGACGCUGAGGAGCGAAAGCGUGGGGAGCGAACAGGAUUAGAUACCCUCGUAGUCC